Molecule: long non-coding RNA, 256 nt
Organism: Anopheles coluzzii
Lineage: Eukaryota; Metazoa; Arthropoda; Insecta; Diptera; Culicidae
Exons: 2
Source: RefSeq, a predicted model, not a curated record
AUCGGAUUGGUCCAAAAAUUGAGCGACAAGAUACAACGAUGCGACCUUCGAUCUGCCCGAAGCAACGAUUAUGCAUCGGGCUUCGCUUUUUAGCUUCGGGAGACUCAUAUGAAUCUCUUGCUUUUUUGUUUAGGGUUUCUAGCAGUUCCGUAUCCCGUAUUGUGCGUGAUGUUUGUACAUACAUAAUAAAUGAAUUGAAGGAAUACGUUAAGGUAUUAUUUCACUGAUUUAAUAUGGUAACAAUUCCAUACUAAUA